GAUGAACGCUGGCGGUGUGCCUAAUACAUGCAAGUCGAGCGAACAGACGAGGAGCUUACUCCUCUGACGUUAGCGGCGGACGGGUGAGUAACACGUGGAUAACCUACCUAUAAGACUGGGAUAACUUCGGGAAACCGGAGCUAAUACCGGAUAACAUGUUGAACCGCAUGGUUCAACAGUGAAAGACGGUCUUGCUGUCACUUAUAGAUGGAUCCGCGUCGCAUUAGCUAGUUGGUAAGGUAACGGCUUACCAAGGCAACGAUGCGUAGCCGACCUGAGAGGGUGAUCGGCCACACUGGAACUGAGACACGGUCCAGACUCCUACGGGAGGCAGCAGUAGGGAAUCUUCCGCAAUGGGCGAAAGCCUGACGGAGCAACGCCGCGUGAGUGAAGAAGGUCUUCGGAUCGUAAAACUCUGUUAUUAGGGAAGAACAAAUGUGUAAGUAACUAUGCACGUCUUGACGGUACCUAAUCAGAAAGCCACGGCUAACUACG
RNAcentral lists this ribosomal RNA (495 nucleotides) under uncultured bacterium. RNAcentral's name for it is "partial 16S ribosomal RNA". It matches the Rfam family "Bacterial small subunit ribosomal RNA", at positions 28 to 505 of the family's 1533-position model. The record is from RNAcentral.